ACUUUGACAUACCUACAUCAAGACAAUCAAAAUCAAUAGAAAGUAAAAUUCAUAAUGACUUUGUAAAAUCCAAAUAAAAUGUUAUUUAUGGAACUUUAACCUCCAAAAAGCAAUGCUUUUCAAAAAGCAUGUGUUUGUGUAGCUGCUUCCCAAACUGGUGUCUAUACAGAAUAAGAAUCAUCAACAAAUUCCUAGGACUAUUCGGAUUACAUUGUAACUGUGUGACUCCGGCCUGCCUGGCAACCAGAGUGCAAUAAUUAACUGCGUGACUCCGGCCUGCCUGGCAACCAGAGUUCAAUAAUGGUUGAAAACAAGGAAACUUCCGUCGCUAAGAACGUUCUUGAUAUAUGCAAAGGAUCCUGGGAUUUCCUAAGAAGGCUGGCGCAUAAUAUAUGCAUGUGUUCUUGCUUGCCAGGCCUCAAGUGCUUGUUUCGCUUCGAGGUAAAAGGGGACUCCCGUGAUCUUCACGCGCAGCGGUGAUACCGCUAC
Long non-coding RNA from Cydia splendana, 489 nucleotides. RefSeq lists it as uncharacterized. The transcript has 2 exons. Lineage: Eukaryota; Metazoa; Arthropoda; Insecta; Lepidoptera; Tortricidae. The record is from RefSeq and is a predicted model, not a curated record.